This 480-nucleotide ribosomal RNA is filed under the name uncultured bacterium. RNAcentral's name for it is "partial 16S ribosomal RNA". It matches the Rfam family "Bacterial small subunit ribosomal RNA", at positions 28 to 523 of the family's 1533-position model. The record is from RNAcentral.
GACGAACGCUGGCGGCGUGCUUAACACAUGCAAGUCGAACGAUGAAGUUCCUUCGGGAAUGGAUUAGUGGCGAACGGGUGAGGAACACGUGAGAAACCUGCCUUUCAUUUUGGGAUACCUCCGGGAAACCGGGGCUAACACCGAAUACUCCGUCUCGGCGGCAUCGCUGAGCCGGGAAAAAAUUUUGAUGAAAGAUGGUCUCGCGGCCUAUCAGCGAGUUGGUGAGGUAAUGGCUCACCAAGGCAACGACGGGUGGCCGGCCUGAGAGGGCGACCGGCCACACUGGGACUGAGACACGGCCCAGACUCCUACGGGAGGCAGCAGUGGGGAAUAUUGGGCAAUGGGCGCAAGCCUGACCCAGCGACGCCGCGUGAGGGAUGAAGGCCUUCGGGUUGUAAACCUCUUUCAGUAGGGAAGAAGCGAAAGUGACGGUACCUAAAGAAGAAGCACCGGCUAACUAUGUGCCAGCAGCCGCGGUAA